RNAcentral lists this ribosomal RNA (1343 nucleotides) under uncultured bacterium. Its description in RNAcentral is "16S ribosomal RNA". It matches the Rfam family "Bacterial small subunit ribosomal RNA", at positions 28 to 1378 of the family's 1533-position model. The record is from RNAcentral.
GACGAACGCUGGCGGCGUGCUUAACACAUGCAAGUCGAACGGAAAGGCCCUGCUUUUGUGGGGUGCUCGAGUGGCGAACGGGUGAGUAACACGUGAGUAACCUGCCCUUGACUUUGGGAUAACUUCAGGAAACUGGGGCUAAUACCGGAUAGGAGCUCCUGCUGCAUGGUGGGGGUUGGAAAGUUUCGGCGGUUGGGGAUGGACUCGCGGCUUAUCAGCUUGUUGGUGGGGUAGUGGCUUACCAAGGCUUUGACGGGUAGCCGGCCUGAGAGGGUGACCGGCCACAUUGGGACUGAGAUACGGCCCAGACUCCUACGGGAGGCAGCAGCGGGGAAUAUUGCACAAUGGGCGGAAGCCUGAUGCAGCAACGCCGCGUGCGGGAUGACGGCCUUCGGGUUGUAAACCGCUUUCGCCUGUGACGAAGCGUGAGUGACGGUAAUGGGUAAAGAAGCACCGGCUAACUACGUGCCAGCAGCCGCGGUGGUACGUAGGGUGCGAGCGUUGUCCGGAUUUAUUGGGCGUAAAGGGCUCGUAGGUGGUUGAUCGCGUCGGAAGUGUAAUCUUGGGGCUUAACCCUGAGCGUGCUUUCGAUACGGGUUGACUUGAGGAAGGUAGGGGAGAAUGGAAUUCCUGGUGGAGCGGUGGAAUGCGCAGAUAUCAGGAGGAACACCAGUGGCGAAGGCGGUUCUCUGGGCCUUUCCUGACGCUGAGGAGCGAAAGCGUGGGGAGCGAACAGGCUUAGAUACCCUGGUAGUCCACGCUGUAAACGGUGGGUACUAGGUGUGGGGUCCAUUCCACGGGUUCCGUGCCGUAGCUAACGCUUUAAGUACCCCGCCUGGGGAGUACGGCCGCAAGGCUAAAACUCAAAGGAAUUGACGGGGCCCCGCACAAGCGGCGGAGCAUGCGGAUUAAUUCGAUGCAACGCGUAGAACCUUACCUGGGUUUGACAUGGAUCGGGAGUGCUCAGAGAUGGGUGUGCCUCUUUUGGGGUCGGUUCACAGGUGGUGCAUGCCUGUCGUCAGCUCGUGUCGUGAGAUGUUGGGUUAAGUCCCGCAACGAGCGCAACCCUUGUUCACUGUUGCCAGCACGUUAUGGUGGGGACUCAGUGGAGACCGCCGGGGUCAACUCGGAGGAAGGUGGGGAUGACGUCAAGUCCUCAUGCCCCUUAUGUCCAGGGCUUCACGCAUGCUACAAUGGCUGGUACAGAGAGUGGCGAGCCUGUGAGGGUGAGCGAAUCUCGGAAAGCCGGUCUCAGUUCGGAUUGGGGUCUGCAACUCGACCUCAUGAAGUCGGAGUCGCUAGUAAUCGCAGAUCAGCAACGCUGCGGUGAAUACGUUCCCGGG